Long non-coding RNA from Strongylocentrotus purpuratus (purple sea urchin), 464 nucleotides. RefSeq lists it as uncharacterized. The transcript has 5 exons. The record is from RefSeq and is a predicted model, not a curated record. NCBI's taxonomy places the organism in Eukaryota, Metazoa, Echinodermata, Echinoidea, Camarodonta, Strongylocentrotidae.
AAUAUAUUUAUUUCAAAAUCUUAAUUCUAAAAUAGUGUCCACUUUCUUCUUCUUUUCUCUGAGUGUAUAUUUGUUCUUUAUUAAUUCUGAUGGUUUAGCACCCAAAGGAAACAUCGUGGUGGGAGAUAAGCCUUCUGGGCGUGGCUUCGUCUUAGGUGCCCCUCCUCCUGCUAGAGGCGACACCGAUGUACCAACAGAGCGAACACGUCAACCACCUGCACCAACACCUGCACCAGCACCCAAAGGAAACAUCGUGGUGGGAGAUAAGCCUUCUGGGCGUGGCUUCGUCUUAGGUGCCCCUCCUCCUGCUAGAGGCGACACCGAUGUACCAACAGAGCGAACACGUCAACCACCUGCACCAACACCUGCACCAGCACCUACGCUGAAUCUGAAGGGAAUCUUUGCAAGCAGAUUAAGUAAACAAAGUAAACCUUUUAGGCUUGUUCCCGCGGAAAAGAGUGAGC